UACGUAGGGGGCAAGCGUUGUCCGGAAUCAUUGGCGUAAGAGCGUGUAGCGGCUCGAUAAGUCCGCUCUGAAAGCCCGGGGCUCAACCCCGGGAGGCGGGCGGAAACUGUCGGGCUAGAGUCCGGAAGAGGCGAGUGGAAUUCCCGGUGUAGCGGUGAAAUGCGCAGAUAUCGGGGAGGAACGACCGGUGGCGAAGGCGGGUCUCUGGGCCGAUACUGACGCUGAGGAGCGAAAGCGUGGGGAGCGAACAGG
RNAcentral lists this ribosomal RNA (252 nucleotides) under uncultured bacterium. RNAcentral's name for it is "partial 16S ribosomal RNA". It matches the Rfam family "Bacterial small subunit ribosomal RNA", at positions 524 to 776 of the family's 1533-position model. The record is from RNAcentral.